CCUACGGGUGGCUGCAGUGGGGAAUUUUGGACAAUGGGGGCAACCCUGAUCCAGCCAUUCCGCGUGAGUGAAGAAGGCCUUCGGGUUGUAAAGCUCUUUCGGCAGGAACGAAACGGUGCGGGUUAAUACCCUGCAUCAAUGACGGUACCUGAAGAAGAAGCACCGGCUAACUACGUGCCAGCAGCCGCGGUAAUACGUAGGGUGCGAGCGUUAAUCGGAAUUACUGGGCGUGAAGCGCGCGCAGGCGGUUGAAAUCCCCGGGCUUAACCUGGGAACUGCGUUUGUGACUGCAAGCCUAGAGUGCGGCAGAGGGGGGUGGAAUUCCACGUGUAGCAGUGAAAUGCGUAGAGAUGUGGAGGAACACCGAUGGCGAAGGCAGCCCCCUGGGUCGACACUGACGCUCAUGCACGAAAGCGUGGGUAGCAAACAGGAUUAGAGACCCCGGUAGUC
This 450-nucleotide ribosomal RNA is filed under the name uncultured bacterium. RNAcentral's name for it is "partial 16S ribosomal RNA". It matches the Rfam family "Bacterial small subunit ribosomal RNA", at positions 338 to 795 of the family's 1533-position model. The record is from RNAcentral.